GCGAGCGGGGAGCGGCGGUGGAUCGCCACGGUCGAGGCCACGGUGGCGGGCGAGCUCCACCGUGCCCGCUUCCGGUUCGAUCUCGAGCCGCCCGCCCC
This 98-nucleotide transfer RNA is filed under the name Acidobacteria bacterium ADurb.Bin051. Its description in RNAcentral is "tRNA-Pro". Lineage: Bacteria; Pseudomonadati; Acidobacteriota. The record is from RNAcentral.